GAUGAACGCUGGCGGCGUGCUUAACACAUGCAAGUCGAACGGUGAAGCAGGAGCUUGCUCUUGUGGAUCAGUGGCGAACGGGUGAGUAACACGUGAGCAACCUGCCCCUGACUCUGGGAUAAGCGCUGGAAACGGCGUCUAAUACUGGAUAUGUGAUGUGACCGCAUGGUCUGCAUCUGGAAAGAAUUUCGGUUGGGGAUGGGCUCGCGGCCUAUCAGCUUGUUGGUGAGGUAAUGGCUCACCAAGGCGUCGACGAUCAGUAGCUGGUCUGAGAGGCCGAUCAGCCACACUGGGACUGAGACACGGCCCAGACUCCUACGGGAGGCAGCAGUGGGGAAUUUUGGACAAUGGGGGCAACCCUGAUCCAGCAAUGCCGCGUGAGUGAAGAAGGCCUUCGGGUUGUAAAGCUCUUUUGUCAGGGAAGAAACACCGGCUCUAACACAGUCUGGGAAUGACGGUACCUGAAGAAUAAGCACCGGCUAACUA
This 486-nucleotide ribosomal RNA is filed under the name uncultured bacterium. RNAcentral describes it as "partial 16S ribosomal RNA". It matches the Rfam family "Bacterial small subunit ribosomal RNA", at positions 28 to 503 of the family's 1533-position model. The record is from RNAcentral.